AUCCUCCAGAUUCCUUAACUCUCAGAUCUGAAUAUUGGUCUGAGUGACCGAAAAAGGAGGAAAAGUAAAGCGGAAGUGCCCAUGGAGUCUUUAGUGACCUACAAGUUCAUUUCCAACAUCU
Molecule: small nucleolar RNA, 121 nt
Filed under: Echinops telfairi (small Madagascar hedgehog)
Lineage: Eukaryota; Metazoa; Chordata; Mammalia; Afrosoricida; Tenrecidae
Description: Small nucleolar RNA SNORA61 (ENSETEG00000025799.1)
Source: RNAcentral